Hyalella azteca is the source of this 214-nucleotide long non-coding RNA. RefSeq lists it as uncharacterized. The record is from RefSeq and is a predicted model, not a curated record. The transcript has 3 exons. NCBI's taxonomy places the organism in Eukaryota, Metazoa, Arthropoda, Malacostraca, Amphipoda, Hyalellidae.
AAAUGCAAACAUAAUGGAAGCUUGAAACUCUAGUCACCUGUUGCAAAAAUAAGUCGUCUACACAUUGCUUCGCUGUUGUCUCAGGCUGAUUUUCUGCAAAGCAUUACCUACCAGUAUUAUGAACUCCUCAUUCAAGUCAGCACCCCUCCAAACUUAAUGCCUCAUUAGUGGUCCACAGUGGCGAGUGGCGCCUGCAAACGCAAGAGCAACAUGG